Prunus persica (peach) is the source of this 73-nucleotide transfer RNA. It matches the Rfam family "tRNA". From Rfam's summary of the family: Transfer RNA (tRNA) molecules are approximately 80 nucleotides in length. Their secondary structure includes four short double-helical elements and three loops (D, anti-codon, and T loops). Further hydrogen bonds mediate the characteristic L-shaped molecular structure. tRNAs have two regions of fundamental functional importance: the anti-codon, which is responsible for specific mRNA codon recognition, and the 3' end, to which the tRNAs corresponding amino acid is attached (by aminoacyl-tRNA synthetases). tRNAs cope with the degeneracy of the genetic code in two manners: having more than one tRNA (with a specific anti-codon) for a particular amino acid; and 'wobble' base-pairing, i.e. permitting non-standard base-pairing at the 3rd anti-codon position. Lineage: Eukaryota; Viridiplantae; Streptophyta; Magnoliopsida; Rosales; Rosaceae. The record is from Rfam.
UCUGUUGUCAUCUAGUUCGGUCAGAUGUCUGGGUUUUACCCAGUUUUCCUGGGUUCAAAUCCCGGCAACGGAU